This is a non-coding RNA of Cinara cedri, 271 nucleotides long. Lineage: Eukaryota; Metazoa; Arthropoda; Insecta; Hemiptera; Aphididae. The record is from the annotation of a GenBank genome assembly.
CCUUAGUUACGUUCCAAAUUUUAAAAUUUAAAUCCAUUACACCACUUGAAUUUUUAUACCACUUUAGCAUAAAAUAAUAUUAUCAGAGAUUCUUAUGUAACCAUAGAUUAAUUUUGUUACACGGGUAAUUAUUUUAAUGCUGUGCAAUAUUUUGUUGCCUUAUAAUGAACGGUGUACACGCCUCACAUACCUAACCUUUGCGUAGACAAGAUGUAUUGUCAAUAAACAUAGGAUUAUAUAAAGGAUAAUCAUAAGAGUAUUUGUAUCUUUU